GGCCUACGGGACGCAGCAGUGAGGAAUAUUGGUCAAUGGUCGGGAGACUGAACCAGCCAAGCCGCGUGAGGGAGGAAGGUACAGAGUAUCGUAAACCUCUUUUGUCAGGGAACAAAGACUGGGACGCGUCCCCGGAUGAGUGUACCUGAAGAAAAAGCAUCGGCUAACUACGUGCCAGCAGCCGCGGUAAUACGUAGGGGGCAAGCGUUAUCCGGAUUUACUGGGUGUAAAGGGAGCGUAGACGGCAGGGCAAGUCUGGAGUGAAAGGCAGGGGCCCAACCCCUGGACUGCUCUGGAAACUGUCC
Molecule: ribosomal RNA, 305 nt
Filed under: uncultured bacterium
Lineage: Bacteria
Description: bacterial SSU rRNA
Rfam family: Bacterial small subunit ribosomal RNA
Source: RNAcentral